This 1036-nucleotide ribosomal RNA is filed under the name Clostridioides difficile. RNAcentral's name for it is "partial 23S ribosomal RNA". It matches the Rfam family "Bacterial large subunit ribosomal RNA", at positions 398 to 1444 of the family's 2925-position model. Lineage: Bacteria; Bacillati; Bacillota; Clostridia; Peptostreptococcales; Peptostreptococcaceae. The record is from RNAcentral.
AGAUAUGAUCCAGAGUACCACGGGACACGUGAAACCCUGUGGGAAGCAGGAGGGACCACCCUCCAAGGCUAAAUACUACCUAGUGACCGAUAGCGUAUAGUACCGUGAGGGAAAGGUGAAAAGAACCCCGGGAGGGGAGUGAAAUAGAACCUGAAACCCUGCACUUACAAGCUGUGGAAGCACAUUUCUUGUGUGACCGCGUACUUUUUGUAGAACGGGCCAACGAGUUACGUUAAGUAGCAAGGUUAAGCACUUAAGGUGCGGAGCCGUAGCGAAAGCGAGUUUUAACUGAGCGUUCAGUUACUUGACGUAGACCCGAAACCGGGCGACCUACCCAUGAGCAGGAUGAAGCGAAAGUAAAAUUUCGUGGAGGUCCGAACCCACGAGCGUUGAAAAGCUCGGGGAUGACUUGUGGGUAGCGGUGAAAUUCCAAUCGAGCCCGGAGAUAGCUGGUUCUCCCCGAAAUAGCUUUAGGGCUAGCCUCAAGGUGAGAGAUACGGAGGUAGAGCACUGAAUGUCCUAGGGGGUAUUGCACCUACCGAAGACUAUCAAACUCCGAAUGCCGUCAUCUUAUACUUGGGAGUCAGACUGUGGGUGAUAAGAUUCAUAGUCGAAAGGGCAACAGCCCAGAUCGUCAGCUAAGGUCCCUAAAUGUAAGUUAAGUGGUAAAGGAUGUGGGAUUGCACAGACAACCAGGAUGUUGGCUUAGAAGCAGCCACUCAUUCAAAGAGUGCGUAAUAGCUCACUGGUCGAGUGAUCCUGCGCCGAAGAUUUCCGGGGCUAAAACUUACUACCGAAGCUACGGCAUCAGUAAUGAUGGGUAGGGGAGCUUCCCAUACGGGUUGAAGCAUGACCGUAAGGACAUGUGGACAGUAUGGGAGUGAGAAUGUUGGCAUGAGUAGCGAGAUGUGGGUGAGAAUCCCACAGGCCGUAAACCCAAGGUUUCCAGGGGAAGGUUCGUCCGCCCUGGGUUAGUCGGGACCUAAGCUGAGGCCGAAAGGCGUAGGUGAUGGACAACAGGUUGAUAUUCCUGUAC